CAGCCGCCGCGGGAAUACGUAGGUGGCAAGCGUUGUCCGGAAUUAUUGGGCGUAAAGGGCUCGCAGGCGGUUUCUUAAGUCUGAUGUGAAAGCCCCCGGCUCAACCGGGGAGGGUCAUUGGAAACUGGGAAACUUGAGUGCAGAAGAGGAGAGUGGAAUUCCACGUGUAGCAGUGAAAUGCGUAGAGAUGUGGAGGGACACCAGUGGCGAAGGCGACUCUCUGGUCUGUAACUGACGCUGAGGCACGAAAGCGUGGGGAGCAAACAGGAUUAGAUACCCGGGUAGUCCCUGUCUCUUAUAC
RNAcentral lists this ribosomal RNA (301 nucleotides) under uncultured bacterium. RNAcentral's name for it is "partial 16S ribosomal RNA". It matches the Rfam family "Bacterial small subunit ribosomal RNA", at positions 509 to 807 of the family's 1533-position model. The record is from RNAcentral.